AAUCUUAUAGUUAAAAAAUAAUAUUAAACUGCAAUUUUAAAGUUAAAAAAAAAUUUUAAGGUUU
RNAcentral lists this transfer RNA (64 nucleotides) under Euterpnosia chibensis. RNAcentral describes it as "tRNA-Cys". Lineage: Eukaryota; Metazoa; Arthropoda; Insecta; Hemiptera; Cicadidae. The record is from RNAcentral.